AGAGUUUGAUCAUGGCUCAGGAUGAACGCUGGCGGCGUGCCUAACACAUGCAAGUCGAGCGAUUCUCUUCGGAGAAGAGCGGCGGACGGGUGAGUAACGCGUGGGUAACCUGCCCUGUACACACGGAUAGCAUAUCGAAAGGUAUGCUAAUACGAGAUAAUAUACUUUUAUCGCAUGGUAGAAGUAUCAAAGCUCUGGCGGUACAGGAUGGACCCGCGUCUGAUUAGCUAGUUGGUAAGGUAACGGCUUACCAAGGCGACGAUCAGUAGCCGACCUGAGAGGGUGAUCGGCCACAUUGGAACUGAGACACGGUCCAAACUCCUACGGGAGGCAGCAGUGGGGAAUAUUGCACAAUGGGCGAAAGCCUGAUGCAGCAACGCCGCGUGAGCGAUGAAGGCCUUCGGGUCGUAAAGCUCUGUCCUCAAGGAAGAUAAUGACGGUACUUGAGGAGGAAGCCCCGGCUAACUACGUGCCAGCAGCCGCGGUAAUACGUAGGGGGCUAGCGUUAUCCGGAAUUACUGGGCGUAAAGGGUGCGUAGGUGGUUUCUUAAGUCAGAGGUGAAAGGCUACGGCUCAACCGUAGUAAGCCUUUGAAACUGGGAAACUUGAGUGCAGGAGAGGAGAGUGGAAUUCCUAGUGUAGCGGUGAAAUGCGUAGAUAUUAGGAGGAACACCAGUUGCGAAGGCGGCUCUCUGGACUGUAACUGACACUGAGGCACGAAAGCGUGGGGAGCAAAC
RNAcentral lists this ribosomal RNA (737 nucleotides) under uncultured bacterium. Its description in RNAcentral is "bacterial SSU rRNA". It matches the Rfam family "Bacterial small subunit ribosomal RNA", at positions 8 to 773 of the family's 1533-position model. The record is from RNAcentral.